CAGUAGCCGCGGUAAUACGAAGGGGGCUAGCGUUGUUCGGAAUUACUGGGCGUGAAGCGCACGUAGGCGGAUAUUUAAGUCAGGGGUGAAAUCCCGCAGCUCAACUGCGGAACUGCCUUUGAUACUGGGUAUCUUGAGUAUGGAAGAGGUUAGUGGAAUUGCGAGUGUAGAGGUGAAAUUCGUAGAUAUUCGCAGGAACACCAGUGGCGAAGGCGGCUAACUGGUCCAUAACUGACGCUGAGGUGCGAAAGCGUGGGGAGCAAACAGGAUUAGAUACCCCUGUAGUCCCUGUCUCUUAUAC
RNAcentral lists this ribosomal RNA (301 nucleotides) under uncultured bacterium. RNAcentral's name for it is "partial 16S ribosomal RNA". It matches the Rfam family "Bacterial small subunit ribosomal RNA", at positions 509 to 807 of the family's 1533-position model. The record is from RNAcentral.